GCCAGCAGCCAUAUCACCAUGCAACUCACAGCUGACAGCCCACUGAAGCUCAGCAGGUGUGAGCCUGGUCAGUACCUGGAUGGGAGACCUCCUGGGAAGCUAUGGUUGGUGCAGGAA
This 117-nucleotide ribosomal RNA is filed under the name Lepisosteus oculatus (spotted gar). The record is from RNAcentral. Lineage: Eukaryota; Metazoa; Chordata; Actinopteri; Semionotiformes; Lepisosteidae.